GGAGAGAUGGCUGAGUGGACUAAAGCGUCGGAUUGCUAAUCCAUUGCAUGAGUUAUUUGUAACGGGGUUCGAAUCCCUCUCUUUUCG
Molecule: transfer RNA, 87 nt
Filed under: Olea europaea subsp. europaea
Lineage: Eukaryota; Viridiplantae; Streptophyta; Magnoliopsida; Lamiales; Oleaceae
Rfam family: tRNA
About the family: Transfer RNA (tRNA) molecules are approximately 80 nucleotides in length. Their secondary structure includes four short double-helical elements and three loops (D, anti-codon, and T loops).
Source: Rfam by way of RNAcentral